GUAGGUGGCAAGCGUUGUCCGGAAUUAUUGGGCGUAAAGCGCGCGCAGGUGGUUCUUUAAGUCUGAUGUGAAAGCCCCCGGGCUCAACCGGGGAGGGUCAUUGGAAACUGGGGAACUUGAGUGCAGGAGAGGAAAGUGGAAUUCCACGUGUAGCGGUGAAAUGCGUAGAUAUGUGGAGGAACACCAGUGGCGAAGGCGACUUUCUGGCCUGUAACUGACACUGAGGCGCGAAAGCGUGGGGAGCAAACAGGAUUAGAUACCCUGGUAGUCCACGCCGUAAACGAUGAGUGCUAAGUGUUGGGGGGUUUCCGCCCCUCAGUGCUGCAGCUAACGCAUUAAGCGCUCCGCCUGGGGAGUACGGUCGCAAAGACUG
RNAcentral lists this ribosomal RNA (373 nucleotides) under uncultured organism. RNAcentral describes it as "partial 16S ribosomal RNA". It matches the Rfam family "Bacterial small subunit ribosomal RNA", at positions 527 to 896 of the family's 1533-position model. The record is from RNAcentral.